AUAAAGGAGCAUUCCAAGUGUGUUAUGGUUCAACACCAAUGAGAUAAACAGCCUUUGAGAUAGCGGCGGAUUGUACUGGGUUUUCCCGGAUUUCCCAUACUAUGGAGGAGAGUUUGCAUGCCCGCCAAUAUAAAUGACUCUCUUUUUUCCUGUUCAAGUCAGCGAAAGGGAAGCACGGCCGGAAAACGUACGGCAGUCACCUAGUAAGUUCAUCAUGAAAGCCGUUCUGUGGCUGACGUUCCUGGCCCUUACAACGGUAGCCUUGUUCCACCUGGUGAAUUCAAGGUGUCACCGCUGGCUGGAGAAAACAAAGUAGAUGUGGCUGUGAAAGCGGGCAAGAAACUUGAAGUUCUCGGACGUGUGAUGCAAGGCAAAUUGCCUGAAAGCAGCGCCGAAGCUCAGAGGGAAGUUGCCGAUGCACUUGAAGCGCUCGCUGCUGGAGAAGUGGCCCUAGACAAAGAGUCCUCCGAGUACUGGGUGGGUGUCGUGGUGCGUGGAGUCAUCGGGGGCGCUGUUGCCCACGGCAUCGACAGGUGGAAGCGCAGGAAGGGUUAAUUAAUAAAUUUUCAACUCUUGA
Molecule: RNA transcript, 577 nt
Organism: Dermacentor silvarum
Lineage: Eukaryota; Metazoa; Arthropoda; Arachnida; Ixodida; Ixodidae
Exons: 4
Source: RefSeq, a predicted model, not a curated record